Peromyscus californicus insignis is the source of this 13048-nucleotide long non-coding RNA. RefSeq lists it as uncharacterized. The transcript has 7 exons. The record is from RefSeq and is a predicted model, not a curated record. NCBI's taxonomy places the organism in Eukaryota, Metazoa, Chordata, Mammalia, Rodentia, Cricetidae.
UGUAACACGGGAACCCAUGAAGAAGAUGGCGGUUCUCAGCCUACAUGCAUCUCACAUGGGUCCUCUUCCUUCAGAGGGGGAGGGUCACAGGUACAAAUCACAUCCUGCCCCCAAGGAGCACCGGCUGCCUCAGGCUGACCACGUGUGGACCAGAAUUCUGAGUCACCCGGUGCUGCAAACCAGAGGCCUCGGGAAGCUAGCCCCAGCAGCAGCCAGCAGCCAGACGACUUACAUGCAAGGCUCAGAGCUUCUGAGAAAAGUACCUUGCUCCAAACUGUCCCCGGCUCUCAGGAUGAGUAAACCCAGCAGCUCUGAGCCUCCAAUUUCAAGUGAGCCCGAGGUGCUAGCCAGGCAAUGGCAUCCUGCUGGUGGGAGUGGGUGGAGCAGCUUGCACCAAGGCCCGAGGUGGUGAAGGAACCACCUACCUUCAGCUGUGCCCUAGGGGGAUGUACAUCUGCAAGAUCUAAGCAACACAGGACAGUGCCGUGGGGCCCAACUCGGGCACCCUCUGACCCCAGCACCCUUAUCUACCAGGCACCUCGGGUAGGCGAUGAUUUCAAUAACCUAGAGCUCUGUCCAGGGGCCUAAAGGGCAGGGUUGUGGGUCAGGUGCACAGGAGAUACCACUUGGGAGAUGGAUAGCUGGCCAGUCAAGCUCACCUUUGGAGUAUCUAGAAGCAUGGCAUACAGGUCUUGUGCAGGCCUCAUACUUGGAUAUAUGUCACCCCACUUUGUCCCAUCUGAGACAUGUUAGCAAGAACCAGUGUGCACACUCGACUUUGGAUAGGUCAGAGUAAGACCCUGGGUACAUGCCUAGUAACACAGCCUUCUGGAAGGUAGGUCCUCGUAGUAUGUCUCCACCCACAGGGACUCUGUCUGUCUGUGUCUGUCUGUCUGUCUGUCUGUCUCUCUCCGUGUGUGUGUGUGUGUGUGUGUGUAGGUGUAUAGGGAGACUGGAGAUGAAUCUCUGGUAUUGAUGCUCAGGGCUGUCCUUGGAUGCUUCCUGGUCAUAAGGCAGAGGAUGGUACCCUGAGCUAUAGGCCACACCAUUCAUCUGUUUGACUAGCUCUUUUCCUUGACUGUGCUAAAGAGCGCAUGAUCUAAGAUUGACCUAAAACUCAGUGGAGUUCUGGGGGCUGGAGAGCUGGCUUAGUGGAGGGCCACACAAGCAGAAGACAGAGAGGACCAGCUGGUUCCAGGACCCACAAGGGGUCUAACAAGUCACCACAGCUUAUGUAUUAUAUCCCAUAAACAGUUGACACAAGUGUGUCACGGCUAGACAGAAACUGAUAAGGGGACAAGGCCCAGGGAGAGCCCUGCUCUGGUGUGAGGAAGCCCCUGAUAGCCCCUGUGGGCCACAGGCCCAUGGGGAAGAAUGGACAUCUCAGCAGAUGGGACUAUGAGUCAGAAAACCAUGGCCCUGGAAGCCAACCCUACGUAGAACGGUGCAGGGUGACAGGAGGGCUCCUGUGCCUAGAAGUGACACAGUGGAGUCUCUUGAUGUCAGGGGAGAAAGGACCUUUCAUUGGCCCUUAAACUUGGUGAACUCAGAACCCCUGGUGGGUUGUAAAAGCGUGGGCUGAGGCCCAACAGUAUUGAUCCUGCAGGACAGAGUGGGGCCCUGCAUGUCUUUCAAGCUCUGGGUGACCCUCUGCUGCCAGUUGGUGACUAUGUGGAGAGGAUUACCAGAAUCCCAUUAAGUACAGAGCUUUUGGAAAUGAAUUUAGCUAAAGAGAACUCAGAACUGUUCACCAAAAAACACUAUUUAACAUACUUCAGUUAAGCAAAGAAAUGGAAAGGUGUGAGGCUGGAGAGAUGGCUCAGUGAUUAAGAGUGUGUACAUCUCUCCCAAAGACCUGAAUUUGGUUCCCAGUACCCACUUUAGGCAGCUCACCCUGUAGCUCCAGCUGCGAGAAUCCGACGCCCUCUUCUGACUCCUGUGGGUACCUGCACUCAUGUGCACAUACCCACGUAUACACAAAGAAUAAGAAAUGGAAAGGGGUAUCAGUGGCCUCUGACAGGGCAGAGCAGCGAGCAACUUUGAUACUGAUACAACCACCUCAUGAGAUGAGCCUGUUUCCAACACUGGAAGAGUACACACUCCAUUACCAAGCAACUCCACAGGCAGGUGAGACAUGACUCUGGACACACAUACCAGGAGGAAAAGAAAAAUUCCAGACAGCGCUGUCUCUAACAGCAAGGAGAAAGCACCUGGAAACAGCAGCAGGAUGGGGAAGUGAGCAGUGUGGCGGAAUACUGCGAGGCUGGAAAAAAGGUGUGUGUGUGGGGGGGGGGGGGUGAUUGCCGCAUCACCUAAGGUGGAGAGCAAAAGCAAAUUCCAGGAAACUCCGUGGAGAAGGCAGCUUGGCAGGAGCGGUCUCAGGCCUGACAACCAAGCGCACAGUUCAGACACCUGAUCUGAGACAAAAGGAAACCACACACAUGGAACUCAGGGGGUGAAGGGUGUGUUGAAGACAUGCAGAGUCCAGGCACCACGCUUGCCCAAAGCCCAGGAGCUGCCGCGCUGAUGAGGCAGGCUGGAUGUCAUCAUGGCUGGAUUGGUGCCAGCUCCUCACUGAUAAGGAAUACCACACACAAACCCUGGAAGAUUAUACAGCUCAGCCACCUCUUACAGGGAGCAAGGUGUCACAGAGAGGGGCAGGGCGGGACUACGUAGAAAGUGACCUGACACCAGGCUGGCCAGAGUCUGCCCUCUGCUUGGACCCAGGAUGAAAUAUAUACAUCACACACAUGACAAUGUAACUAAUCUGUAAUAUGUAAAAUACAUAUUCUUGAGUAUAUAUUACAAAUGCUGUGUUAUCUAUAACAAGCAUUCACAGAGCAAUUAAUUGAAACUGUGAAUGCUGCAUUUUAUGUGAAAAUUUUCUCACUUUCAGGAAGGACAGUGGUAAAAAGUAGGAAAUUUUUUAAAAUUCCUUAGGUUUUGGAGACGAGGUCAGGGAGCCCAGGCUAGCCUCAGACUCCCUCUGUAAACCAGUGAUGAUGCUGAACUCCCGAUCCUCCUGCCUCUACCUCACCAGUCUGGGCUGGCAGGCACACCCACCAUGCUUGUCAUGUGCUGCUGAGGUGGAGCCCAGGGCUCCCUGCGCUCCGCUGACUGAGCCACAUCCCCAGGCUCCUUUAGAGAGUCAUGACUGAGGGGGUUAUGUAGCCAGACAGCUUUUUCUAAACAAAGAGGAGCUCAGCGGUCAGAGGGACUCUGGUUUAAAUUUGCACUCAAGGAGUAUCAAUCGGUAGUAUGCGAUUUUGAUUCUUAUUUGUUCAUGUAGUUGAUAAAACACGCAAGUCUUCAUCUACACACAUGCCUCUUUCCUGCCUGAAGCCUCGGGCACAUCACUAAGCAGAGGAAGACAGGGUAGGAAGUCCUUAUUUAGAUCCAACCGAAGACAAGGGACAAAAGGACCUGCUCAAAUCGGCCAUUCAAAUCUUAAAACAUCAAUUAUGUUAAGGCCAUGAGUUCAUAAUGGCUCCAAAUAAGUCUCACACACACAACUCCAACUGAUCACCAGGGAAGGAUGUUAACAAACCGACCUAUUAUUUUUAAAAUGGUAAAUAAUGGAGAAGAAUCGGGGCAUUCAUCUGGCUUUCCCAUCCGUCUGAAUUCUCCCAUUGUGGGUGCAGGGAAGUUUCCCCUUAUAGCUGUUUUCCAGCUUACCGGAGAGGAAGGGUUGGCUGGAGGGGAACAGAGCAUUACCCAGUGCAGUUAGUGUCCCAGGGGAUUUGUGGGGGGACGCAUUCCCUAGCAAGCACUACUAACCUCCCAGGACAGAGGCCACCUGAAGUCCCCACCCCUCCCAACGAGGAUACACCACCUUCUGUGUCUGUCAAUAAUGCUAACAUAAGUGACUUCCAGAGGCAGAGGACCAGGCUGAACCCCACCCCCACCCCCACUGGAACAAGAGAGACAGAAAGAAACUAGGCCAGGAGAAACUCCAUAGGACAAGUCACCAUGUUCAUGUUUCUUGCAGUAAAAAUGGUUGACUAAAUGCUGUGAUAGGCCCAUCCUUAUCAAACAUUUGGGGAGCUAUUUAAGAGAGGAACAAUGGAGCAGUGUGGGGUAAGUCAGACUUAGAACAAAGGCAGCCACUCUCUUGAGCGAAUUCUAACGCAAACGCAUGAUAAAAUCAUAAAAGAAAACAAGAUGGUCUGGGAGACAGCCCGACAGUAAAGUUCCUGCUGCAUGCAGGACCCAGAACCUAUGUAAAAAGUCUGGACAUGCUGGCAUACACCAACAGUCCCAGUCCUGGGAAGACAGGUGGAUCCCUGGGGUUCAACUGCCAGCCAGAUCCGUGAGCUCCAGGGUCAGUGAGAGAUCCCCGACUCAAAAAAUGUAAGGUGACAAGUGAGAGAGGAAAAGACUAGAUACUGACCCUCUGACCUCCAGGGACAUAAGAGCAGGGAGAGAGAGGGAGAGAGAGAGAGAGAGAGAGAGAGAGAGAGAGAGAGAGAGAGAGAGAGAGAGAGAGAGAGAGAGAUUCGAAGGUCCUCCAGCCAUGAGGAGGAAGGCAGCAGGUUGACAGAGGCAGUGAGGGCUUCCAAGGUCCCCACCUGUGCGGGUCCUGCCUUAGGCAGUCACAGGGUCAAUGAUGCUUCUGAAGUGAAUCACAAAUUUAAAUGGCUAUGAGUCCCCAUGGGAAUGUGACCAAGGCCAGCCAAGCACAGGACAACCAGCAGAUGGUGUGGUGCUAAGUAGCCAGACGACCCGUCUUCCACCACGAUGCAGGAGGCAAGUGGUGGGGCUGUGGGUGCAGGUGAGUGGCUGUGUCACAGGAGACCACUAUGCCUGGGGGCCUGCCUUGCCUUUGACUCCUGAUAGCUGCCGAGUGGAAUGUGGGCUGAAAGGAGCCAGAUCCUUGGCUUUUCUAAGGGACACUGGAAACCUAUUUUCUGUACAGUUCCCCACUUCCUUAAUGCUGACAUCUAAUCUAAAAACAAAAACACACUGUGUGGGUAGGCCAAGCAAAAUUUUCAGGCUAACUGCACCCAGGGAACACCAGUUCCCCCCAACACACACUUCCCACAUCUGAGAGCUGACUACAACCCAAUCCAUGUGUUAGGAAGACAUGGCGAGAGCUAUUUAAAAUCAGUUUGGGGUCAAUUCAUUUUUAGGUGCCCAAUAAAGCUGGGACUUAAAAGACCCCAUCAACUCCCAGAACUCUGUGAGCACCAGCCGCUGGCCAGUCCACAGGCAUUCCACCAUCCUCCGUUUACACAACAGAACCUCCACUUCAUCGAGACUUGGAAAACCAAGAGCCAGGGAGUGUCCCUCCAGCUUUUCUGGGACAGCAAAAUCGAAGGGCCACAGAUGAAACUCAUUUGUUAGUUCACAGCACGCACUUUAGUCCAAAGUGCCUGCAGCCAAUGGUCCUGCCACAAACUCAAGCUGGGUGCCCCACGCUGGAUGCAAUGGGAGCCAGGGGCUGUCCGCUCUGCUCACCUGCCCAGAGAUCUGGCUUCAGAGACGUAUAGAGGGUGAAACAGACAUCAGUCCAAGCCCGACAGGCUUUGUGCCUAAGGACCGGAGCAGACACCGCUCACGCCCGACCCUGAGUGUCUUCACCUACAGACACAGAACGGAUGGUGUGGAUGAGCAAAGCAAGCCUGGCCCUUCCUUUAUAAAAGGUCUCAAUGUGACUGGAUCCCCAGAUCAGUAAAAAAUUAAAGAGGUGUCAAAAACACCGUGGGAAAGAGCCAAGUCGAUGGUUUAAUCAUUCCCCAAGACCCAAGCCCUUCUCCAGGUGCUAAAUCCAAGUCCAGCGCAUCCAGGGCAAGAAGCAAGUCCAACAGAAUGGUAGAGGGCAAAGACCAAACCCAAACAGCAGCUCUGUGGGAUGGGAAAAACCUACAAAUUCUUUACACAAGAGGCACAGGGUGGGGGCUCAGCCCCUGGGAGAGCAAAAUUCCACCAGCUGUCCAAAGUGAAUUUACGGCUGGGGAGGGAAGAGCAGAGAAAAGUAUAGAAGGAAGAUUCGUCUAACUGCUGGCCAGUCAGAUCCUAGCCUGGAGCCCCUUUUUGGGGUGUGCUUAUGCCCAGAGAGGUAGGCUACAGCUAGAACAUAUAUUUGAGGGAAAUAAACAGGUAUUUAUAUAUUACAUAAACACACAAGACUACUUUAAGUGUGGCCUGGGAGAUGGGCCCAGCACAGUCUACAACACUCUGUGUCGUGACACCCCAGGUUUCCCCGAGAGGCUGUAACAUCUGCCCUGAUUCAAGUGAGGUACCAGGGGCUCCUGCACACCGUGCUAAGACACAGUGGCAGCUGGGCCCUUCUGCCUCUGUCCUAAUAGGAACUGAAGUAUAGAGAGGUCGCUGUGACUUCCUUUGUCCAGCCGACCCCCUUUUCCCACUUGUGACUGUAGGGAAACAGCCUGCGAGGAGGUGGCUGAAAACAUCUACCUCUCAGAAUCCCAGAGAGAGGUAGAGCUUGCUGGAGUCUGGCAUCAGCAGCUGGAGGCAGCUUCGUGUUGUGAGCCAGAAGCUCGGAGUACACAGAGAAUAAACUGAAGGUCUAAGCGGCACAACAACAACGUGAGGUACUAACGGGCAGGGUGGAGGUACACUGAGGCACAAAACUGAGGCACUGCUGGGAGAGGAGAGACUCAGGUCCACUACAGGCUCACUUAAGUGAUCCUCAAAUGGUAACCCUCGUCAUCUUGGUGGGUUUGCCUGGGCACAGGUGGGGUUUUCUGAACUUUGGAACUUUUUUAGGAGCCUUUGAUUCUUAGAAUAAUCUUGAGCAUCGGAAGCCAUCUUCACUACAGAGCGGGCACCACAGAGAACAGACACCCAGGGAGGAAGCCCAGUCAGAACCUCUAGACACGACAGACCCCAAAUUGAGACUGGGCCCAUGAGCCAGAACGGGCCCUGCUUGCCAUGGGACAGGUGUGUAAGACACUGUCCUCGAUGUUUAUGACAGCAACUGAUCUCGCACUGCCCGUGCAUAGGGAGUGUGUGUUGCUGCUUCUGUAGAAGGUGAGGAACUUGGAUCAGCAUCUGUUCAUGGCCCAGGACUCAGGACCCAGGACAAAAGUUCCCAAGGUGAACGGCAACUGUCCCCAAGGCACUGGCCUUAAUUCUUUACAAGAGAAGGGGUGAAAACCAAAACCAAAAACCAAAACCAAAACAAACAAACCAACAAACCCUCACUUACUCCUGGUCCUCAUACCCGUAGAGGGUGGUGGUACAUAAACACAGUCUGUUUGUAAUGCCUGUGUCCCACGGCUCAGAGACUAAGAAAACAACAUCAAAAUCGGAAAGAGGACUGGGGAUGUAACCCAGGGGUAGAGCACUUGCCUGGAAUGUACAAAGCGCUGGGUUUAAAUCCCAGUAUGCACUCCCAUACACAAAGCUAUGAAGAUCCAGGCUGUAAUUUUGGGAUGACCCACUUGUAACACAACACUAUUGAUUUGGGGGUGGAUGUUAAUAUAGUUCAAUAUUUAAAUAUAGUGGAAAAUACUGUUUUCAUCCCAUGUCUACUGCUCAUGCAUUUCCUAUGAAGAACACGAGCUGAACAACUUUCAAAACAGCACUUCCCGCGCCCAUAGACGCUUGCUCACAUGUGUGCAUGACGUAGGCUGUCCCCACAGGUCAUGUCCAGGCUCCAGCCAGCACCAGACCACAUCCUCUCUCCCCAGGAGGCAGAAAGACAUCAAGGAUGCCCGUUGAGUUGGGCCCCUGCUCCUUCUGCCCCCACAGUCUCCUUCCUGUGGCUCAGCCCCGAGGGUGCACCCAUGCCCCCAGGGCCUGUGGUGGACUUGGUGGUGAGCUGGCCUAAUGACCUUCAAACCACAGUUCAGCUGUGGCAUCAGCAUGGUUCCUAGGAGGCAUUAUCAAUGGUGAGAGUCACAGGUGACAGUCACUUCUGAGUCCCCUUUCCCUGGCAUGGCUCCCAAGGGCCUGCAUCCAGGCACAGAACCACAGCCCCUCCGCGUUCACACUAAGGAAGUGGUGGAGGUUAACCUACACUCUUGCCCUACUUUGGCCCUUCUAGAUGCGUCUCGAACAACCCAACUUGGGGAAAGAUGCUCACCUCAGCUCCAUCUUCUUCCUGCUGGGGAUUCACCUUCACCAAAGUUAGCUGUAUCUAAAAUGAAUGUGCAUCCCAGGCACACACUCUGAGAGUCUCAGACUACAGACCAUAUCGGGCCCUAUGAAUACUUUGUGUUAUCUAAAUGUGCAAACCCGUGAAAACAAUUUCCAAACUAGACCACUGACAAUAAAAGAACCAUUAUAGGAAAAAUUGUGUAAAACUGUUUCUUUCCAGAAUUUUCCAUCUAAUAUUUUGGACUAAAGUUGAACAUAAUAACCUGAAACUGAAGAACAAAAAUUCAAAGAUAAGGGGGUGGGGAUGACUGUAAACUUUUGGUUGUCCUGGAAACAACACGUGAACUUGACUCUCUCCUUCCAACCCUUGCCUCCUUCACGACUGUUUCUCAAAGGCAGCCAGAGCCACCUUUUCCAAAAAUACCUAGAUUACCGCUGCAGAAAACCCCCAACACCACCUGCUGCUCUGACCUCAAGGCCACCAUCACCUGCUGUUCCCACUCUCCGCCCGCCCGUCCCCCCAAAUGCUCUCCCUUCAGACCUUCCAGCUGCCAUCCAGCUCCCAACCUGUGUGACUUUCCUCAUUUGUCAUGAUUCACUCCCUCAGACAUUGGCAUCUACACUUACAUCUGUCCCUGAACAGAACAAAAAUGCCCCAAGACAAGGCUUUGCUUCUUAUCUCCCACCCCCACCGCCCCGUCCCCAAAACGCCUAGGGCAGAGCCUGGCUCAGGAGGAGCCAGCAAAUACUUGGGGAUCUGGGCAUGAACGGUGGGAGAGAUCAGGGGCCAAGGACCCAGGGGGAUGAAGUGAGAGGAAAGGGAGAGCUGGAGAGGACAGCGGAGGGACAGCGGAGGGACAGAGGAGGGACAGAGGAGGGACUCAGGUACUGGAGCAGCAGUACUACGUGCAGCCUGAACUACCCAGGUACAAUCUGGGGCUUUAGGAAGAGAGAGUAGGUCCACCAGCGAGGACAGAGCAGGUCAGCAUUUAGGGACAUAUCAAGGGCAGGUGAAGGGGACCCACUGCAUCUGAAAUGUCACACAUUUCCCGUUUCAAGGAGACUUUUGUAAGCAUCUUUACCCACCAGAGUAGGAAAAGUAGAUGAGCUCUCGGCCCAAGAAGGAAUAGGCCCAGAAUCGUCAAGAGCACGCAGGAAUGCAACCCAGAAGAGGGGCACUUGGUCAUGGGCCAAGUUUGGAGACACUAGGGUAUGGAGCUCCUUGCACCCAGGGGAGAGGCUGGGCAAACUUCCAAGGCCAAUGUUUGCCUCUGUGCAGAGAUUCAUGUCCACUGUCCCCUGCUCACACACUGCCAGUGUGUGACCUCUGUUCUGGGCUACCAGCUGUGGCUUCAUGGAGAGAGACCCCUUUAAUGACAGCUGAAAGGACCCCAAACCCAGUCACCCUCAGGCAGAUAGAAGCAUGUCUUGAGUCUAUCUGUCUGCUUUAAACCCCAAACAACAGAUCAAGAACCCUAUGCCACAGAGGAACGUGUGCAGGGUCCUGGGUGUAGGGCCAGGCCUCUCGGGAGGACCCAAAGCCCUGGCAGCCAAGAGCUAAACUGCAUCCACAUUUUCUGAGUUCACCCUGGAGCACAGUAGGGCCACACCGAGCAGAGCUUUGGGAACAAAGUAAGCCAAGCCCCAAACAAACUGGCCAGUGACACAGUGCAGCCUUGGGGACACAUGGCUCAGACCCAGGGGUAAAGCAUAAAUGGAGAAGCCUGAAUAUAGCAUUUGAGGGACCAGCGCUGGACUGCAGGAUCAGACCUGCUGUGGGCCACACCUCCAGGGCUGUGUGGGCUGGCAGAGGACGACAGAGACCCUGAGAAUGGCUUCCCUCAAAGUGUGUAAUACACUGCUGUCUAGGAAGUGCCAGGCACCUCCUGGUCUUACAGAUUUUUUUUAAUGUCAACCAGGACAGUCAAGGCUCUGAGAAGUCCCACAACAAGCCAACCUUUUCACCUUUUAAAGCCACAGAAUCUUCUAGCAGAGGAUUCUCCCCAGUUACCAGGGUGGGGGGGAUGAGGGGGCCACACACACACACACACACUGUGAAGAGGUACUGAAGAAAAGCCUCCUCCUGCUGGGGAAGCCAUCUGUGCUCAAAUCUCUCCCUGUCUGAGGGCUGAAUCAUGAUGGGGGAGGGGAGCUCACCCCAACACACCUGUGAGCCUGUCUGUGUCUAGAAAGCCAUCUCUGGAGGCCCCACAAGGCCCCCAUACCCAGCUGCUUCCUCUGUAACAUGAGCCAUCCCAUUUGUACAUCUGUGGCUGUGGCGGACUCAGGGGACCACCUCUGACCCAUCCAGGUGUCUCCCUACAGUUCCAUAACUAAGGUGACUGGCAUUCAUCGUUAAUGCAGGACCAUGGUGAGGACGGGAGGGGCCGGCACGUCUCUGUUCCCAGAGACCAAACCAACGCCUCCCCAGAGGCUUCUGGGAAACACCCGCCCUGUUCAGACACCUAAAGCACCUUGCCUCCAAUGGGGUCAGUCCCCCACCUCCACAUGGAGUGAGGCCAGUUCCACUCAGGGCUCUGGGAGCGGCUGCCAUUGGCUGCUGCUCUGUUGAGCUCUUUGCCAACAACCCUCUUUAAACCAAGCAGUAAGGCUGGCUCUCACCGCGACGUCUAGCAGUCACAGAUGAGCGUGCCCAGGUCACCUCCCAGCUCUCCGUCAUUGCUGCACUUGAGCACCAGGCUCCAUUGGUUCUUCACACAGCAUUGCUAUUGGGUUGGUCUGCCCAGGCCUGUGGGGCAGCGCUUCAGAAAGUGUCCCAAAAGGUCUGUGGUUUAACUCUUUGGCUGAUAGUUCCAUCAGAGAGACGGAAGCUGUUAGAAGUCUCGGAACACCCAGGUAGCCAGUCCGGACAAGACUUCAAAGACUCUGAGCAAACACAGCAUAAUUGCCUGUCACCCACAUACCUGCCAUCAGUCCCAGGCUCUAUGGUAACCACAGCAACUGUUCUAGAGCACCCUACCCUGGUCCCCGCUGGGCUCUUGGGAGUUAGCAGUCCUAAGUUAUUGUGCUUUCAGGGGUAGGAUGGACAUCCUCAAUCCAAAAAUCCAAAAUGCUCUAAAAUUCAAAACUUGAAUAUCAAAAUGAUUCCUAGGAAGUUUCAAAUUCUAGAUUUCUCCAGAUUUCAGAUUUGGGGGUUAGGGAUGUAGAAAUGAUAACACAGUGUUGCAGAGGAUCCCCAAACCCAAACCACGUUUGUCCUGGAGGUUCGGAAUGAGAGACACUCCACCAGGAAUCAGAUGCUACUGCCCAUGAGCUGUGAGCUGGAGCUGGGGGCAGGGAGCAGCCGGCCACUUAGAGUUUCUUCCUCCAAUUCAGAAACCUCCAUCCCAGAUUUCUGAUUUUCUGAACCCUCAAAAGGAAGAGAAGUCUCCUCUGCCUGCCCCACCCUCUCUGCCUCCUGGGUGCACCUUACUCAUCUCAGGUGAGUGUGGCCUCCCUCAGAGCCCAAUCAACCCAUCUCAGCUGCUCUGACAAGCCAUGCCUCGGCCCAGGCCAUGUACCCACAAGCUGGGGGCACCUUCCCACAAAGCCUUUUUCCAUCCUCUCCCUGGCCCUGCCACCCCAUCAGCUGAGCUCGCCCCAGCGGAAGCCCAUUGCUACCCCCCAUCAAUGGUCCCUGUGUCCCAGCAGCACGUGCCAGAGCUGCCCGCAGCCCCAUUCAUGGUCCUGAUAGAGCCCCUUUCAAAGCUGGGCUCCUUCCUCGCUCUCCGCCCCUCCCCCACGCACAGAAGAGGGGCAUAAAGUGGGAUUUUCCUCCACACGAAAGAAAGGACUCUUCCUUCCUUUCUGUUUUCCUGCCGUCCAUCUAAAUCUGGCCACGGAAGGAGUAUGGACGUGCCCUCAGGUUAAAAUGGAGAUACUGAGGCCCAAGGAGGUGGCAGGGUAGAAUGGGCCACAUGGGGGCUUCCGGGACAGGGACACGGAGCAAGCACAGCUUCUUACCGUCAUCCAGCUCUUUGGCUCAAGGCAGUCUGUUGUUGGAUGACCGUGGGGUAAGAGCCUGGGCUCAGCCUCUGACCUUGGUUGAUGGACGGUGGGACAGGCCUGGCAGAGCUGGGGCCAAAGUUUUCACAGUACAUGAUAUGCUGGAACUCCUGGUGCCCCCCGCCACGGAGCUGCUGGUUUGUGGAAUUUCAUGAAUGAGACUUUCUGCUCUGGCUGUGCCUCAAGUGACUCCACCCAUGUGCGGACAGUCAAGGACCCUGAGAAUUCUAGAGCAUGUCCACCUUGACCCUGAAUGUGAUCAAACCUAGGACAGGGAAGGACAGCAAGAGACAUCUGCCUAGCAAAUGCCCCACCACCAAGGUCAACAUGGAUGACACGGCAGCUGGCAUCAGGGGAGCUAUUCUUACAGGGAAGAGCCUUCCAACCCAAGAGAAAACUGAGGCUCAGAGGGUGCGAGUCACUUGGCCCAGAAGUUCACUUUCACGGGUACGCGGAUGUGCUUGUUCCGAUACUCGGGGAUCUCAACAAAAAGCAUGUUCUAGAAGGAAGCAGUUGUCAUGAACUUGACAAUAUACAGCAUGCUAGGAUUCCUACUGGGAUCCCAACCAAGUCCACCCAGGCCCACCUACAGCAAGCGGGCCGUCUGGCUUCCUUCCCUACAUUUAAAGAGAAAUUUGAUGGAAGGGAAUUUAAUUUUCAUCUCAGCAAGGGAAGUUGAUCUAGCAGAGUGUGUAAAGAUGUCAUGGUCACAAACCAAAGGGCCUGGGGCUCAGCUGGCUCUUGUCUUUAUCCACCGUGGCUUCCAUCUCCCAAACCUGCUGCCCAUCUGGAAAAUACAAAAACAACAGCCUUUGAAGGAACCAGGAGAAGCCAAAGAUGAGAGAAACGUGUUGCCAACAGAAAACUUAGCAGAGAAAGAUCGAAAACUCGGAGGAACCGCAGACUCCACCACCAUAAUCUCUUCCAAUCCAAACGCCUAUUUCUCUGUCUUAAAAUAAAGUCACAGUUCUCCAUGGCA